GCCCCGAUAGGGUAGCCAGGCCAAUCCUGCCGGCUCUCGAGCCAGAGACCCAGGUUCAAAUCCUGGUCGGGGCA
RNAcentral lists this transfer RNA (74 nucleotides) under Desulfobacterales bacterium. RNAcentral's name for it is "tRNA-OTHER". It matches the Rfam family "tRNA". From Rfam's summary of the family: Transfer RNA (tRNA) molecules are approximately 80 nucleotides in length. Their secondary structure includes four short double-helical elements and three loops (D, anti-codon, and T loops). Lineage: Bacteria; Pseudomonadati; Thermodesulfobacteriota; Desulfobacteria; Desulfobacterales. The record is from RNAcentral.